CCUUCCCUGUGCUAUUCCAUCAGCCUACAGACCUGGUACCUGGAUUUUUGCCCGAGAUGAUUCCUACCACCUUACUACUGAAGAAGACACCCAUUCCAGUGGACCACUGUGACCCAGGAGGCAUUCAGCCAUCAUGAUGUGGCCUUUACCUCCACUCCUGUCCUGUUCUACCCAGAUUCAGCACAGCCCUUUAUAGUGAAGUCAGAGUCCUCAAGCCAAAUAGCUAAAGCUGUUUUAUCACAACAAAGGCCUAGUUUGUUCCAUGAGUGUGCAUUUCAUUUCUUCAGUUAAAGCCUUCAGAGACACACAAUAAAUUUGGACCAGGGGAUUUUUUAGUUAUUAAUGCUCUCUGAAGAAAGGCAACAUCUUUUUGAGAGCAGCAUUGGACCACACCCCACAAUCUCAAAUGGUUGAAAUUCGUGAACAUCUAGGAUCCCGUGAAGGUCACUGGACCCUGUUUUUUCUACUUCAAAUCCUGUAGUAGCCUACUGAAUGAGAAAACAUAUUCUGACCCAUUGGAAUCAAAUCAGAGGCACAGUGAACUCCUCAUAGCAUCUUCUUUGGAAUUACUCAGGAACCAGAACUUUUUACACAAAUGUAAGAAAUUCUACCAAGGAGUCCCCUUACCUAACAGCAUCUCACAAGGCUGCAUCAGAUUCCAGAAAAGGCUUCUCUUGAUACAUCAAGCAUUUUGUGACCGACUUAUUCUUAGAUCAUUGGUUUUCCAAAGGCUUUGUGGCCAUGAAGCCCUUUGAGUGAAAACUGCAGAAGCCCAGAGUAAAAGUGAAGCUGCUCUGGAUGAAGUAGUGAAGCAAGAGUAGGGGCCUGAAGCCUGCUACGACUAUCUUCCUUUACCACCGUGGUGACACCUAAGGGGACUUCCUUACAACACCUUGAACUCUUCCAAACACAGUUUGAAAACCACUGCCCCAGACAGCAAUAUGUUUGACCUGAAUGGCAUUCCAAUCUUUUCUGUACCUCCACUCAGCACAGUUCGUGUUCAGUAGAUGCUGAACAUUCUUAGAAAUACUGUGCGCGAACUUAGAAAAGUGCAAGAAGACAGGCAUGUCUUUGACCCCAGGAAUGAUCAUGGGCUGAAGAUGGUGUCAAGUGAACCUAGAUUAACAGCCCUCCACUCCAGAUGGAUAUCCAGUGAUUCCUAGAAUGGGAUAUAGCCAGAGAACAAUUCUAUGCACCCUACACUGACAGACUCCCUUAAGCAACACCAGAUGCUCUACUGGUACUUGAAGUACAUGACUUUGAAGUCUUGACCCUCCAUGAAUACCUGAAUUACCAGCAAGUGGGUUUUGAAGCUGGUGCCUCAUCAAGGCCAUAUUAGAGCAACUUGUACAUUUGACCUCUUGUUAUCAGCCAUGGUACUCUACUUCGUGAGCAAGAGAUAACUAUGAAAGCCGAAUUCAAAUACUGGCAACAUUUCCUAAAGGGGCUCAAUAUCUAUCAUUCAUCUUCUUUUCCAAACUACACAUCACUGUAUGACUCAACCAGUAGCAGUUAUAUUGCCCCUUGGUUUUUAUUCAGUUUAACUACUGUUUCCAGGGUAAAUGAGCUAAUAACCAUUUUUUAAAAAA
RNAcentral lists this antisense RNA (1589 nucleotides) under Pongo abelii (Sumatran orangutan). The stretch from base 1 to 193 matches the Rfam family "Taurine upregulated gene 1 conserved region 3", at positions 45 to 236 of the family's 236-position model. The record is from RNAcentral. Lineage: Eukaryota; Metazoa; Chordata; Mammalia; Primates; Hominidae.